UACGAAGGGGGCUAGCGUUGCUCGGAAUCACUGGGCGUAAAGGGUGCGUAGGCGGGUCUUUAAGUCAGGGGUGAAAUCCUGGAGCUCAACUCCAGAACUGCCUUUGAUACUGAAGAUCUUGAGUUCGGGAGAGGUGAGUGGAACUGCGAGUGUAGAGGUGAAAUUCGUAGAUAUUCGCAAGAACACCAGUGGCAGGAAGGCGCUCACUGCCCGAUACUGACGCUGAGGCACGAAAGCGUGGGGAGCAAACAGG
This 253-nucleotide ribosomal RNA is filed under the name uncultured bacterium. RNAcentral describes it as "partial 16S ribosomal RNA". It matches the Rfam family "Bacterial small subunit ribosomal RNA", at positions 524 to 776 of the family's 1533-position model. The record is from RNAcentral.